Vigna umbellata (rice bean) is the source of this 402-nucleotide long non-coding RNA. RefSeq lists it as uncharacterized. Lineage: Eukaryota; Viridiplantae; Streptophyta; Magnoliopsida; Fabales; Fabaceae. The record is from RefSeq and is a predicted model, not a curated record.
CAACAAAUGAGAAGGAGCCACAGGCAAUUAACCAUAUAUUCAUCUUUAUUUAUUUAUUUCUCGUAGAACGACACCAACACUCUCUUUCUUCUCCUAAAAUCUGAUUCACAUCAUCAACUGUGUUACAAAGAAACCUACUCUUCAAACCACCAACUCUCAUCCUCUGCAGAAACUGAUUUUCUUAUAUAAGCUCAGUGCAACACAAUCUGCUUUGAGAACGCUAGUCCUAAAGCUAUCAACUCCAUCUCAGUCUCAUCCUCUGCAGAAACUCAUUUUCUUAGAUCAGCUCAGAGCAACGCAAUAUAUAACCCUAUAAAAGACUCCAACGCAUUAAGUGAGAACUGUCAAAUUCAUACAAGGUAACGUCAAUAUGAUAUAAACCUUUAUAUAUAUAGAUGGAUA